AACAAGUAUAUAUAAAUAUUUAUUUAUAUAAUACAGUAAUUCCCCGUUUAGUUAGAAAUCGAUGUUGUUUUUGUUGUACGAUUUUGCCUUUUAAAGCCGCUUUAAUAUGAAACUCUACCAUUUACAGAGGGAAAAAAGUAUUUGAUCCUUUGUCAAUUUUUUAAGUUUGUCCAAUCAUAGGAAAAUAACAGUUUGUUAUUUUAAUGGUAGAUUUAUUUUAACACACUCAAAAAUGGAAGGGAAAAAGAGGAACAUUCUUCAGUAUCAAUACAACCAAGGUGAAAAGGUGGAGCAGGGAACCAAAAAUAUUUGUACUGUUUAUGGACCCAAUACAGUAUCGAAUCCAACAGAAAAGUGGUGGUUCCAUUUAUUCCGUACUUGUAAUACCGAAAAUAUCAAUAAAAUAAUGUAAAUUGUUAGUUGAACCCACAUGUAAAAACUUAUUCAAUUCCCCUGGAACUAAAGAUUAGCCAGAAAACCGUUUGGAACCAUUUAAAUCUGAUAAUCCCAACUAUGUUAAUUUUAUUAUCAAAAUAAAGUAAAAAGUAAGGAGAUGAAUUACCUUCACCUAUUCUAUUAUGCAUAAAAUUAAAAAGUGUUUAGAGGAAGAUAAAUGCGGAGUAUAGCACUCAGAACACCUUCCCAACGUCAAGAAUGUAGGAGGACACAUUAAUUUUUUGGAAAGAUUUUUCUCUCCUAUAAAGAAAUGAGGACUUCACCUCAUUGAAAAGUGGAUCGAACAAACAAAUCCAGGAAAUCUUGGGUAAACAUCUCCUUCUCACAGCCAAGAGCACUAUAAAUCGGCCGUGUAAUGGGUAUUCCAGCACGGCAGUGAUCCAAAAUAUAAGAACGAAGCGACAAAUAAGGUCACGGAGAAGCUUAACCAGUCUCCUGAUCUUCAUUGCAUUGAAUAUAUUUAACUGUGUUCUAAAAUGUUAUGUAAUAUAUUGGGGUAUAUGAACCCCCAAUAGCUAAAGAUAGUGCUGUAUUGAGUAGUUUAGUACUUUCAAGUAUUUCAUAUAAAGAACCAUAUUAAAAUAUCUGCUGUUAUAA
Molecule: long non-coding RNA, 1053 nt
Filed under: Lepeophtheirus salmonis (salmon louse)
Lineage: Eukaryota; Metazoa; Arthropoda; Copepoda; Siphonostomatoida; Caligidae
Description: uncharacterized LOC121122230
Source: RNAcentral